UCAUGUUUCAUAUCGCGACGGAGCGGUUAACACGUCUGUAGUGAAGUUAGCCGUUGUUAUUGCGCAGGCGCGUAAUGUCAUAGUUUUCCCGCUGUGACGAAUCGCGUAGAACUUGAAUCAUCGUUGUUUGUGCCCGCCAGUGUUGGGCAACAGGUGGAUAAGCUGGUCUACUCUAGUUUUUAGAGUAAUUUUAUGAAAUUCUAGUCAAAAGCGAGGAGUAAUACAAGUACGAUGGGUAUCUGCUUUUCGUUCGACUGCGGCGACUGCGACAUUUGCUGCAACCCUUGUUGUAUGGCGCUGAGCGCUUGCUGCUUGGUGCCCUGUCUGUGUCCCAACGCGUGCGGACAACAGCAGCAACAGCCGCCGCAGACUGUACACGUGCACCAUCCACCAGUCAUCAUCGAGCAACAACCACCACCACCCGGAUACCCCUACCCCCCGCCCGGAGGAUACCCCGGAUAUCCCCCACAACAACCCGGUUACCCCGGAUACCCUCAGCCACGGUGAAUUUUAAUUAAGGAUGGGUUGCAACAUUUCAGUGCGGCCCUGUUGUUGCUGCUGUAUCCCGUGUUUGUGCUGCGACUGUGCCCCGCCCCGCACCGUCGUACACCACGUGGUGCAAGCGCCACAACCUGCCAUCAUCGUCAACCAACCACCUCCACCAUACAGAUAGACCUACGAUCCAAAUGGCGUGUACAAUCUGAUCAAAAAAUGGGAUAAAUAACGGCUUAGUAUCGGUUUCUUCUUCGUUGCUACUGCUAUCGAUUCAAAAACAUAUUGUUGUUAGUUUUUCAAAUAGAAUGACAGUGGAACUAUGAGCAGAGCUAGGCCAAAGAACAACCAAAGAAUACUUGCACCAGUGCUAAACAUUGCUAAUAAAGAUAAUGAAAACUUU
This is a long non-coding RNA of Papilio polytes (common Mormon), 895 nucleotides long. RefSeq lists it as uncharacterized. The transcript is spliced from 3 exons. Lineage: Eukaryota; Metazoa; Arthropoda; Insecta; Lepidoptera; Papilionidae. The record is from RefSeq and is a predicted model, not a curated record.